AGUGAACGCUGGCGGUAGGCCUAACACAUGCAAGUCGAACGGCAGCACAGUAAGAGCUUGCUCUUACGGGUGGCGAGUGGCGGACGGGUGAGGAAUACAUCGGAAUCUACUUUUUCGUGGGGGAUAACGUAGGGAAACUUACGCUAAUACCGCAUACGACCUACGGGUGAAAGCAGGGGAUCUUCGGACCUUUCGCGAUUGAAUGAGCCGAUGUCGGAUUAGCUAGUUGGCGGGGUAAAGGCCCACCAAGGCGACGAUCCGUAGCUGGCCUGAGAGGAUGAUCAGCCACACUGGAACUGAGACACGGUCCAGACUCCUACGGGAGGCAGCAGUGGGGAAUAUUGGACAAUGGGCGCAAGCCUGAUCCAGCCAUACCGCGUGGGUGAAGAAGGCCUUCGGGUUGUAAAGCCCUUUUGUUGGGAAAGAAAAGCAGCAGGUUAAUACCCCGCUGUUCUGACGGUACCCAAAGAAUAAGCACCGGCUAACUUCGUG
RNAcentral lists this ribosomal RNA (492 nucleotides) under uncultured bacterium. RNAcentral's name for it is "partial 16S ribosomal RNA". It matches the Rfam family "Bacterial small subunit ribosomal RNA", at positions 29 to 507 of the family's 1533-position model. The record is from RNAcentral.